This 216-nucleotide ribosomal RNA is filed under the name Glomeromycotina sp. Its description in RNAcentral is "partial small subunit ribosomal RNA". The stretch from base 37 to 216 matches the Rfam family "Eukaryotic small subunit ribosomal RNA", at positions 683 to 864 of the family's 1831-position model. Lineage: Eukaryota; Fungi; Glomeromycota. The record is from RNAcentral.
GGGUCAGUAGGUUGGUCGUGCCACCGGUACGUACUGUUCUAAAUGAUUCCUCCUUCCUGAAGAACCGUAAUGCCAUUAAUUUGGUGUUGCGGGGAAACAGGACUGUUACUUUGAAAAAAUUAGAGUGUUUAAAGCAAGCUAACGCUUGAAUACAUUAGCAUGGAAUAAUGAAAUAGGACGAUCGAUCCUAUUUUGUUGGUUUCUAGGAUUGACGUA